This 578-nucleotide ribosomal RNA is filed under the name Cephalotheca sulfurea. RNAcentral describes it as "eukaryotic LSU rRNA". It matches the Rfam family "Eukaryotic large subunit ribosomal RNA", at positions 54 to 656 of the family's 3401-position model. The record is from RNAcentral. Lineage: Eukaryota; Fungi; Ascomycota; Sordariomycetes; Cephalothecales; Cephalothecaceae.
AGGAAAAGAAACCAACAGGGAUUGCCCUAGUAACGGCGAGUGAAGCGGCAACAGCUCGAAUUUGAAAUCUGGCUUCGGCCCGAGUUGUAAUCUGUAGAGGAUGCUUUUGGCGCGGUGCCUUCCGAGUGCCCUGGAACGGGACGCCACAGAGGGUGAGAGCCCCGUAUGGUCGGACACCAAGCCUGUGUAAAGCUCCUUCGACGAGUCGGGUAGCUUGGGAAUGCUGCUCUAAGUGGGAGGUAAACUUCUUCUAAAGCUAAAUACUGGCCAGAGACCGAUAGCGCACAAGUAGAGUGAUCGAAAGAUGAAAAGCACUUUGAAAAGAGGGUCAAAUAGUACGUGAAAUUGUUGAAAGGGAAGCGCUCAUGACCAGACUUGCGCCGGGCUGAUCAUCCAGUGGUUUCCACUGGUGCACUCUGCCCGGCCCAGGCCAGCGUCGGCUGUCACGGGGGGACAAAAGCACUGGGAAAGUAGCUCUCUCCGGGGAGUGUUAUAGCCCUAUGCAGAAUACCCCCGCGGCGGCCGAGGUCCGCGCUCUGCAAGGACGCUGGCGUAAUGGUCAUCAGCGACCCGUCUUG